RNAcentral lists this small RNA (90 nucleotides) under Escherichia coli. RNAcentral describes it as "partial RtT sRNA". It matches the Rfam family "RtT RNA", at positions 1 to 86 of the family's 130-position model. From Rfam's summary of the family: This family represents a bacterial cis-regulatory element known as RtT RNA. Lineage: Bacteria; Pseudomonadati; Pseudomonadota; Gammaproteobacteria; Enterobacterales; Enterobacteriaceae. The record is from RNAcentral.
UGCAUCUGCAGCUCAUGAGGAUGAGAACCUCCGGGGGCGGGGAGGUUCGACUCGAGCGAAGCGAGAGAACGUUGCGCCAGCAACGGCCCG